AAUCAUCAUGUCGAAGUCCUCAUAAGAGACAUUGGGAUCUCCAACUGCAUGCAAGAGCAACCUGGAGAGACUUUGACAGCUCAAGUCAAUCCCAUACCUGUGGCUGCCACUCACCUUUUCUAUAAGA
This is a small nucleolar RNA of Cavia porcellus (domestic guinea pig), 127 nucleotides long. Ensembl annotates it as small nucleolar RNA SNORA44. The record is from Ensembl. Lineage: Eukaryota; Metazoa; Chordata; Mammalia; Rodentia; Caviidae.